AAUAAAUUUAAUUUUUAGUUUAAGUUUAACUCAUUUAAUUCAUGAACCAAAUAUCAUAAUUUAAUUGUUAAGUGGACUUUCGAACUAUGUUUAUAUUAUGUUUCAAAAUAAAACUUACCCCAUAAGGAGACUUUCUCCCUCUCUUGUAGAGAAGAAUUCUCACCCACGAUAUCACAAGUAGGACAUACCCCACGAAAAUCUAUACUUUCCAACUUUCAUCUUUUCAUUUUAAUAUGUUAUUGAGUAAUUAUUGUUUAUGUAUGUAAGUGAAAGAGACCUUGUCUACUUUCUCGUUCGUAGAAAAGAUUGGAAAAAUAUAUAUUUGGAUCCUUUACUUUUUUAGUGGAAAGGUAGAAUGAUUUUAAAUAAAAAUUAAAUAAAUUACGAGAGAGAGUGAUGUUUAAAAUGAAGGGAAAUAAACAUGAGAUAAAACAAAUGAAGAGAAAUAGAAAUAAAAAAUAAAAAAUAAAGAAAGUUAGAGCACACUUAUUCGAAAAAUAAAUAAGCAGUGGCAUCAAGUGGAGAAUUAAAAUAGGUAACUGAUGUGAAGUACAUAAAACUUUUUUAAGAUCACUGGAGAGGGCAAGUUGGUAUUAGAAUAAAAUUUUGAUGGGGCCCAAUCAAUUAUAGAAAUUGACAUGUGAAUAAUAGUAUAUGGUGCAUUAUUUAUACUGCUAGUAGAAGGUUGGCAAACAAAUACUAAAAUAUUAAAUUAGAAGUUGGCCCAAUACGUAGAAACCAACGAGUUUUGAGUGCUACAUAUGCGUCUUUCAUUCAUUGACUCAUCUACUAGCCUGCAAAAUACUAAUUAAAAUGACUAUCUUAUACUAUUUUGUGACAAAUGCUGAUGAGGCAGUCUCUUUGGGCUCAUAUGAUUGUUCCUGAGCAGGGAGGUGGUUGUCAUCACACAACAAUUGUUAGUUUUUUUUUAUUAUUAACAAAGGUUUAAUUAAUGAUUAUUUUAUAUAUAAGAUUUGAAUUAUAAUGCUAACUUUUAUCACUAAAAUAACACUUCAAAGAUAUGAUUUAAUUAGAUUAAGUACAAAAAAUUACAAACAUGAAAAUAUAAAAUGUGAUUAGUUGGUCUCUAAGUAUCAAAUAUGUCAAAAUUAGAUAUAAUUUUUUUAUAUCUAAAGGAGAAUUUGACUUUUUUGAAUAGUAAAUGUUGAAACCGUUGCCAAAUUAUAAUUAUCGAUGACAAAAAGAGUACAUGUGUCGCAUUAUUGUUGGAUGCUUUUCUGAAAAUUAAGUGCAUAGUAAUAGGCACCUUAUUUUCUUCCCACAACUUCAAUUCCAGCUUUGUGGAAUUUCACUAUUUCAGUACUUAAUACUCAACCGUUAUUUUUUUCUUUCUCUUCAGGUUAUGGAAAAUGUGCCUAUUCUAAUCCUGGAUCCGUAAGUUCCUCUGCUUCAGUUUCACUGGGAAAGUAUUACCAAAGUUUAAUGUGGUCGAAACUCAUUGCUCUGCUACUUAUUUCAUACUAUUGGAUGUGAUUAAUACUAAUGGGCUAUGGUAGGUGAAUAAAACGGAAUUAGAAGAAAGUUAGGAAGUUAGCUUUGUUAGCAUUUUGUAAUAGUGAUUAUGUUGAUGCUAAGGUAUUCUUAGCUUUCAUGUUGGGUCAAGACACGAAUCUAUAAUUGUGCAAAUUAUAUCUUUUUGCAGUUUACAUAAAUUGUAAAUUGUUGGUGUUUCCUUUUGAGCUCAAUAUUCUAUUUUCUCUACUUUUUGGUCUGUGGUUA
Long non-coding RNA from Cicer arietinum (chickpea), 1740 nucleotides. RefSeq lists it as uncharacterized. NCBI's taxonomy places the organism in Eukaryota, Viridiplantae, Streptophyta, Magnoliopsida, Fabales, Fabaceae. The record is from RefSeq and is a predicted model, not a curated record.